UACAGAGGGGGCAAGCGUUAUUCGGAAUUAUUGGGCGUAAAGGGCGCGUAGGCGGCUUUGCAAGUGACGGGUGAAAGCCCUCGGCUUAACCGAGGAACUGCCUGUCAGACUGUAAGGCUUGAGACCGGGAGAGGUGAGUGGAAUUCCCAGUGUAGCGGUGAAAUGCGUAGAUAUCAGGAGGAACACCUGUGGUGUAGACAGCUUGCUGGACCACUUCUGACGCUGAGACACGAAAGCGUGGGUAGCAAACAGG
This 253-nucleotide ribosomal RNA is filed under the name uncultured bacterium. Its description in RNAcentral is "partial 16S ribosomal RNA". It matches the Rfam family "Bacterial small subunit ribosomal RNA", at positions 524 to 776 of the family's 1533-position model. The record is from RNAcentral.